This 1074-nucleotide long non-coding RNA is filed under the name Oncorhynchus mykiss (rainbow trout). RNAcentral describes it as "lncRNA (ENSOMYG00000071961.1)". The record is from RNAcentral. Lineage: Eukaryota; Metazoa; Chordata; Actinopteri; Salmoniformes; Salmonidae.
AUGCAGUGUGUGUGUGUGCAGGGGGAAAGCAGGGGGGGAAACAGGGUGAGAACAGGGGGAGAGCAUGGGAGAACAGGGGGAGAGCAGGGGGAGAACAGGGGGAAAGCAGAGGGAGAACAGGGGGAGAGCAGGGGGAGAACAGGGGGAGAACAGGGGGAGAGCAGGGGAGAACAGUGGGAGAGCAGGGGAGAACACGGGGAGAGCAGGGGAGAACAGGGGGAGAGCAGAGGGAGAACAGGGGGAGAGCAGGGGGAGAGCAGGGGGAGAACAGGGGGAGAGCAGGGGAGAACAGGAGGAGAGCAGAGGGAGAACAGGGGGAGAGCAGGGGGAGAGCAGGGGGAGAACAGGGGGAGAACAGGGGGAGAGCAGGGGAGAACAGGGGGAGAGCAGGGGAGAACAGGGGGAGAGCAGGGGAGAACAGGGGGAGAGCAGGGGAGAACAGGGGGAGAGCAGGGGAGAACAGGGGGAGAGCAGGGGGAGAACAGGGGGAGAGCAGGGGGAGAACAGGGGGAGAGCAGGGGAGAACAUGGGGAGAGCAGAGGGAGAACAGGGGGAGAGCAGGGGGAGUACAGGGGGAGAACAGGAGGAGAGCAGGGGGAGAACAGGGGGAGAGCAGGGGAGAACAGGGGGAGAGCAGGGGGAGAGCAGGGGGAGAGCAGGGGGGAACAGGGGGAGAGCAGGGGGAGAGCAGGGGGAGAACAGGGGGAGAACAGGGGGAGAGCAGGGGAGAACAGGGGGAGAGCAGGGGGAGAACAGGGGGAGAGCAGGGGGAGAGCAGGGGGAGAACAGGGGGAGAACAGGGGGAGAGCAGGGGAGAACAAGGGGAGAGCAGGGGGAGAACAGGGGGAGAGCAGGGGGAGAACAUGGGGAGAACAGGGGGAGAGCAGGGGAGAACAGGGGGAGAACAGGGGGAGAGCAGGGGAGAACAGGGGGAGAGCAGGGGGAGAACAGGGGGAGAGCAGGGGAGAACAGGGGGAGAGCAGGGGGAGAACAGGGGGAGAGCAUGGGAGAACAGGUGGAGAGCAGGGGGAGAGCAGGGGGAGAUCGAUGGAUACAGAGGGAGAGCAGAGGUAG